This 127-nucleotide ribosomal RNA is filed under the name uncultured bacterium. Its description in RNAcentral is "partial 16S ribosomal RNA". The record is from RNAcentral.
CAUCAACACCAACAGUUAUUAACCAUUGGCUUUUUCUCCCUACUGAAAGUGCUUUACAACCCUAGAGCCUUCUUCACACACGCGGCAUGGCUGCGUCAGGCUUUCGCCCAUUGCGCAAUAUUCCCCA